RNAcentral lists this ribosomal RNA (371 nucleotides) under uncultured organism. Its description in RNAcentral is "bacterial SSU rRNA". It matches the Rfam family "Bacterial small subunit ribosomal RNA", at positions 526 to 896 of the family's 1533-position model. The record is from RNAcentral.
CGUAGGGGGCAAGCGUUGUCCGGAUUUACUGGGCGUAAAGAGCGCGUAGGCGGAGAUCUAAGCGUGGCCUGAAAGCCCCCGGCUCAACCGGGGAGUGCGGCUGCGAACUGGGUUUCUUGAGGACGAUAGAGGAGAGUGGAAUUCCUGGUGUAGCGGUGAAAUGCGUAGAUAUCAGGAGGAACACCCGAGGCGAAGGCGGCUCUCUGGGUCGUACCUGACGCUGAGGCGCGAAAGCGUGGGGAGCGAACGGGAUUAGAUACCCCGGUAGUCCACGCCGUAAACGAUGGUCACUAGGUGUGUGUGGUAUCGACCCCGCACGUGCCGCAGCUAACGCAAUAAGUGACCCGCCUGGGGAUACGGCCGCAAGGUUG